ACUACGAAUGCGGUGAAAAAAAAUGAAAUUGUAGUGCGGGACAAACACUAUGGUGCAUCUAUGAAAGCAUUGUCAAUAUGUUUGUUUAAAUGAACGUUUGACUACUGUAUCUUUGGUAGCGUUAACGAAUGAUGUUUGCUGAUGCAGUGAUGCUUGCUGUGUUUCCAUAAUCAUGGAUAUGGUUGGAAAACACCAUUGCAAGUUAGGAGCCCCUUAAUCUACAAAUAAAG
RNAcentral lists this long non-coding RNA (230 nucleotides) under Elaeis guineensis (African oil palm). RNAcentral's name for it is "long non-coding RNA (EGUI_LNC075863)". Lineage: Eukaryota; Viridiplantae; Streptophyta; Magnoliopsida; Arecales; Arecaceae. The record is from RNAcentral.